AACGCACGAGACCUGCGGACCUGCGGAGGGAUCAUUAACAAAAAGGAUGCGCAAGCAUUCUGGACCGCGUCAGCGGGACAGUGGGGGCGAGGGGAAGGGCAUUGAGUUGAGGACGCAGUCUUUGAUUCGGGCCUUUCCUUUCAUCACAAGAGGGCGCCUGUGAGGGCGUUCGCUCUUGCGAGUGGGCAAAGCAUCUAGCUAGCCUGUCUUGCAAGAGACUGAGACGAGAGUGAGUUGAGC
Molecule: unclassified non-coding RNA, 240 nt
Filed under: soil metagenome
Description: partial contains 5.8S ribosomal RNA, internal transcribed spacer 2, and large subunit ribosomal RNA
Source: RNAcentral